RNAcentral lists this ribosomal RNA (404 nucleotides) under bacterium. RNAcentral's name for it is "partial 16S ribosomal RNA". It matches the Rfam family "Bacterial small subunit ribosomal RNA", at positions 355 to 776 of the family's 1533-position model. The record is from RNAcentral.
UGGGGAAUCUUGCGCAAUGGGCGAAAGCCUGACGCAGCCAUGCCGCGUGAAUGAUGAAGGUCUUAGGAUUGUAAAAUUCUUUCACCGGGGACGAUAAUGACGGUACCCGGAGAAGAAGCCCCGGCUAACUUCGUGCCAGCAGCCGCGGUAAUACGAAGGGGGCUAGCGUUGCUCGGAAUUACUGGGCGUAAAGGGCGCGUAGGCGGAUCGUUAAGUCAGAGGUGAAAUCCCAGGGCUCAACCCUGGAACUGCCUUUGAUACUGGCGAUCUUGAGUAUGAGAGAGGUAUGUGGAACUCCGAGUGUAGAGGUGAAAUUCGUAGAUAUUCGGAAGAACACCGGUGGCGAAGGCGACAUACUGGCUCAUUACUGACGCUGAGGCGCGAAAGCGUGGGGAGCAAACAGG